This 253-nucleotide ribosomal RNA is filed under the name uncultured bacterium. RNAcentral's name for it is "partial 16S ribosomal RNA". It matches the Rfam family "Bacterial small subunit ribosomal RNA", at positions 524 to 776 of the family's 1533-position model. The record is from RNAcentral.
UACAGAGGUCCCGAGCGUUGUUCGGAUUCACUGGGCGUAAAGGGUGCGUAGGUGGUGAGGUGUGUCGGAUGUGAAAUCUCGGAGCUUAACUCCGAAAUGGCAUUGGAAACUACCUUGCUUGAGGGUUGGAGGGGGGACUGGAAUACUUGGUGUAGCAGUGAAAUGCGUAGAUAUCAAGUGGAACACCAGUGGCGAAGGCGAGUCCCUGGACAACUCCUGACACUGAGGCACGAAAGCUAGGGGAGCAAACAGG